This 460-nucleotide ribosomal RNA is filed under the name uncultured bacterium. Its description in RNAcentral is "partial 16S ribosomal RNA". It matches the Rfam family "Bacterial small subunit ribosomal RNA", at positions 338 to 795 of the family's 1533-position model. The record is from RNAcentral.
CCUACGGGGGGCUGCAGUGAGGAAUAUUGGUCAAUGGACGAGAGUCUGAACCAGCCAAGUAGCGUGAAGGAUGACUGCCCUAUGGGUUGUAAACUUCUUUUAUAUGGGAAUAAAAUGUUCCACGUGUGGGAUUUUGUAUGUACCAUAUGAAUAAGGAUCGGCUAACUCCGUGCCAGCAGCCGCGGUAGUACGGAGGAUCCGAGCGUUAUCCGGAUUUAUUGGGUUUAAAGGGAGCGUAGGUGGAUUGUUAAGUCAGUUGUGAAAGUUUGCGGCUCAACCGUAAAAUUGCAGUUGAAACUGGCAGUCUUGAGUACAGUAGAGGUGGGCGGAAUUCGUGGUGUAGCGGUGAAAUGCUUAGAUAUCACGAAGAACUCCGAUUGCGAAGGCAGUUCACUGGACUGCAACUGACACUGAGGCUCGAAAGUGUGGGUAUCAAACAGGAUUAGAUACCCUUGUAGUC